Argiope bruennichi is the source of this 73-nucleotide non-coding RNA. The record is from the annotation of a RefSeq genome assembly. Lineage: Eukaryota; Metazoa; Arthropoda; Arachnida; Araneae; Araneidae.
GCCUCGGUAGCGCAGUAGGAAGCACGUCAGAUCAUAAAUCUGGAGAUCGUGAGUUCGAUCCUCACCCGGGGCA